CCAGACUCCUACGGGAGGCAGCAGUGAGGAAUAUUGGUCAAUGGGCGAGAGCCUGAACCAGCCAAGUCGCGUGAGGGAAGACGGUCCUAUGGAUUGUAAACCUCUUUUGCCGGGGAGCAAAAAGCGGUACGUGUACCGCAUCGAGAGUACCCGGAGAAAAAGCAUCGGCUAACUCCGUGCCAGCAGCCGCGGUAAUACGGAGGAUGCGAGCGUUAUCCGGAUUUAUUGGGUUUAAAGGGUGCGUAGGCGGGCUUUUAAGUCAGCGGUAAAAAUUCGGGGCUCAACCCCGUCGUGCCGUUGAAACUGAUGUUCUUGAGUGGGCGAGAAGUAUGCGGAAUGCGUGGUGUAGCGGUGAAAUGCAUAGAUAUCACGCAGAACUCCGAUUGCGAAGGCAGCGCACCGGCGCCCUACUGACGCUCAGGCACGAAAGCGUGGGUAUCGAACAGGAUUAGAUACCCGAGUACG
Molecule: ribosomal RNA, 465 nt
Filed under: uncultured bacterium
Lineage: Bacteria
Description: bacterial SSU rRNA
Rfam family: Bacterial small subunit ribosomal RNA
Source: RNAcentral